UACGGAAGGCAGCAGUGGGGAAUAUUGCACAAUGGGCGAAAGCCUGAUGCAGCUAUGCCGCGUGUAUGAAGAAGGCCUUAGGGUUGUAAAGUACUUUCAUCGGGGAGGAAAAACAAAACUAAUAAUUUUAUUUCUUGACGUUACCCGAAAAAGAAGCACCGGCUAACUCCGUGCCAGCAGCCGCGGUGAUACGGAGGGUGCUAGCGUUAAUCAGAAUUACUGGGCGUAAAGAGCACGUAGGUGGUUUUUUUAAGUCAGAUGUGAAAUCCCUGGGCUUAACCUGGAACUGCAUUUUGAAACUGAAAUACUAGAGUAUCGUAGAGGGAGGUAGAAUUCUAGGUGUAGCGGUGAAAUGCGUAGAUAUCUGGAGGAAUACCUGUGGCGAAAGCGGCCUCCUAAACGAAUACUGACACUGAGGUGCGAAAGCGUGAGGAGCAAACAGGGAUUAGAUACC
RNAcentral lists this ribosomal RNA (454 nucleotides) under uncultured bacterium. Its description in RNAcentral is "bacterial SSU rRNA". It matches the Rfam family "Bacterial small subunit ribosomal RNA", at positions 340 to 786 of the family's 1533-position model. The record is from RNAcentral.